RNAcentral lists this unclassified non-coding RNA (154 nucleotides) under soil metagenome. RNAcentral describes it as "partial internal transcribed spacer 1". The record is from RNAcentral.
CAAGAAGAGACCCUAACCGGUCCUCUCAACCCUGCCCAUCGUACCUUUUUUUGUUGUUCCCCUCGGCGGUGCCCGCGGGCCCGCCGGCGGGAAGACCAAACAAACCCUUUGCAAACAGCAUAUCAGAAAUCUCUGAUCAAAACAUGAAUUGUCA